GACGAACGCUGGCGGCGUGCCUAAUACAUGCAAGUAGAACGCUGAAGAGAGGAGCUUGCUCUUCUUGGAUGAGUUGCGAACGGGUGAGUAACGCGUAGGUAACCUGCCUUGUAGCGGGGGAUAACUAUUGGAAACGAUAGCUAAUACCGCAUAACAAUGGAUGACACAUGUCAUUUAUUUGAAAGGGGCAAUUGCUCCACUACAAGAUGGACCUGCGUUGUAUUAGCUAGUAGGUGAGGUAAUGGCUCACCUAGGCGACGAUACAUAGCCGACCUGAGAGGGUGAUCGGCCACACUGGGACUGAGACACGGCCCAGACUCCUACGGGAGGCAGCAGUAGGGAAUCUUCGGCAAUGGGGGCAACCCUGACCGAGCAACGCCGCGUGAGUGAAGAAGGUUUUCGGAUCGUAAAGCUCUGUUGUAAGUCAAGAACGGGUGUGAGAGUGGAAAGUUCACACUGUGACGGUAGCUUACCAGAAAGGGACGGCUAACUACGUGCCAGCAGCCGCGGUAAUACGUAGGUCCCGAGCGUUGUCCGGAUUUAUUGGGCGUAAAGCGAGCGCAGGCGGUUUGAUAAGUCUGAAGUUAAAGGCUGUGGCUCAACCAUAGUUCGCUUUGGAAACUGUCAAACUUGAGUACAGAAGGGGAGAGUGGAAUUCCAUGUGUAGCGGUGAAAUGCGUAGAUAUAUGGAGGAACACCGGUGGCGAAAGCUGCUCUCUGGUCUGUAACUGACGCUGAGGCUCGAAAGCGUGGGGAGCGAACAGGAUUAGAUACCCUGGUAGUCCACGCCGUAAACGAUGAGUGCUAGGUGUUGGAUCCUUUCCGGGAUUCAGUGCCGCAGCUAACGCAUUAAGCACUCCGCCUGGGGAGUACGACCGCAAGGUUGAAACUCAAAGGAAUUGACGGGGGCCCGCACAAGCGGUGGAGCAUGUGGUUUAAUUCGAAGCAACGCGAAGAACCUUACCAGGUCUUGACAUCCCGAUGCUAUUUCUAGAGAUAGAAAGUUACUUCGGUACAUCGGUGACAGGUGGUGCAUGGUUGUCGUCAGCUCGUGUCGUGAGAUGUUGGGUUAAGUCCCGCAACGAGCGCAACCCCUAUUGUUAGUUGCCAUCAUUCAGUUGGGCACUCUAGCGAGACUGCCGGUAAUAAACCGGAGGAAGGUGGGGAUGACGUCAAAUCAUCAUGCCCCUUAUGACCUGGGCUACACACGUGCUACAAUGGUUGGUACAACGAGUUGCGAGUCGGUGACGGCGAGCUAAUCUCUUAAAGCCAAUCUCAGUUCGGAUUGUAGGCUGCAACUCGCCUACAUGAAGUCGGAAUCGCUAGUAAUCGCGGAUCAGCACGCCGCGGUGAAUACGUUCCCGGGCCU
This 1369-nucleotide ribosomal RNA is filed under the name uncultured bacterium. Its description in RNAcentral is "bacterial SSU rRNA". It matches the Rfam family "Bacterial small subunit ribosomal RNA", at positions 28 to 1381 of the family's 1533-position model. The record is from RNAcentral.